Molecule: ribosomal RNA, 738 nt
Filed under: uncultured bacterium
Lineage: Bacteria
Description: bacterial SSU rRNA
Rfam family: Bacterial small subunit ribosomal RNA
Source: RNAcentral
UGCAGUCGAGGGGUAGAAGUUGCUUGCACUUUGAGACCGGCGCACGGGUGCGUAACGCGUAUGCAAUCUACCUUGUACAGGGGGAUAGCCCAGAGAAAUUUGGAUUAAUACCCCAUAGUAUUAUUGAAUGGCAUCAUUUAAUUAUUAAAGUUCCAACGGUACAAGAUGAGCAUGCGUCCUAUUAGCUAGUUGGUGUGGUAACGGCACACCAAGGCUACGAUAGGUAGGGGUCCUGAGAGGGAGAUCCCCCACACUGGUACUGAGACACGGACCAGACUCCUACGGGAGGCAGCAGUGAGGAAUAUUGGACAAUGGGCGCAAGCCUGAUCCAGCCAUGCCGCGUGCAGGAAGAAGCAUCUAUGGUGUGUAAACUGCUUUUGUACGGGAAGAAACACUGCUACGUGUAGCAGCUUGACGGUACCGUAAGAAUAAGGAUCGGCUAACUCUGUGCCAGCAGCCGCGGUAAUACGGAGGAUCCAAGCGUUAUCCGGAAUCAUUGGGUUUAAAGGGUCCGUAGGCGGUCUAAUAAGUCAGUGGUGAAAGCCCAUCGCUCAACGAUGGAACGGCCAUUGAUACUGUUAGACUUGAAUUAUUGGGAAGUAACUAGAAUAUGUAGUGUAGCGGUGAAAUGCUUAGAUAUUACAUGGAAUACCAAUUGCGAAGGCAGGUUACUAUCAAUAUAUUGACGCUGAUGGACGAAAGCGUGGGGAGCGAACAGGAUUAGAUACCCUGGUAGUC